Molecule: non-coding RNA, 138 nt
Filed under: Aerococcus urinaehominis
Lineage: Bacteria; Bacillati; Bacillota; Bacilli; Lactobacillales; Aerococcaceae
Description: GlcN6P sequence
Rfam family: glmS glucosamine-6-phosphate activated ribozyme aptamer
About the family: This entry contains a glucosamine-6-phosphate activated ribozyme that is found in the mRNA for GlmS. GlmS is an enzyme that uses fructose-6-phosphate and glutamine to generate glucosamine-6-phosphate. The ribozyme catalyses self cleavage of the glmS mRNA that is thought to regulate GlmS activity.
Source: Rfam by way of RNAcentral
AUCUGUUUGAUAGCGCCAGGCUUUAUUUAAGGUGACGAGGACCAAGUUUAUCGAAUUUCGGCGGAUGACUUGGAGGCUGUACAGUCUAUAGGGUGAGACAAAAGUCUAAGGACCACAAAACAUAGCCCAAGUACAAUA